CAGUAGCCACGGUAAUACGGAGGGGGCUAGCGUUGUUCGGAAUUACUGGGCGUAAAGCGCACGUAGGCGGUUUUGUAAGUCAGAGGUGAAAGCCCGGAGCUCAACUCCGGAACUGCCUUUGAGACUGCAUCACUUGAACGUCGGAGAGGUGAGUGGAAUUCCGAGUGUAGAGGUGAAAUUCGUAGAUAUUCGGAAGAACACCAGUGGCGAAGGCGGCUCACUGGACGACUGUUGACGCUGAGGUGCGAAAGCGUGGGGAGCAAACAGGAUUAGAUACCCCAGUAGUCCCUGUCUCUUAUAC
Molecule: ribosomal RNA, 301 nt
Filed under: uncultured bacterium
Lineage: Bacteria
Description: partial 16S ribosomal RNA
Rfam family: Bacterial small subunit ribosomal RNA
Source: RNAcentral